This 497-nucleotide ribosomal RNA is filed under the name uncultured bacterium. RNAcentral describes it as "partial 16S ribosomal RNA". It matches the Rfam family "Bacterial small subunit ribosomal RNA", at positions 28 to 507 of the family's 1533-position model. The record is from RNAcentral.
GAUGAACGCUGGCGGCGUGCCUAAUACAUGCAAGUCGAGCGAACGGACGAGAAGCUUGCUUCUCUGAUGUUAGCGGCGGACGGGUGAGUAACACGUGGAUAACCUACCUAUAAGACUGAGAUAACUUCGGGAAACCGGAGCUAAUACCGGAUAAUAUUUUGAACCGCAUGGUUCAAAAGUGAAAGACGGUCUUGCUGUCACUUAUAGAUGGAUCCGCGCUGCAUUAGCUAGUUGGUAAGGUAACGGCUUACCAAGGCAACGAUGCAUAGCCGACCUGAGAGGGUGAUCGGCCACACUGGAACUGAGACACGGUCCAGACUCCUACGGGAGGCAGCAGUAGGGAAUCUUCCGCAAUGGGUGAAAGCCUGACGGAGCAACGCCGCGUGAGUGAUGAAGGUCUUCGGAUCGUAAAACUCUGUUAUUAGGGAAGAACAUAUGUGUAAGUAACUGUGCACAUCUUGACGGUACCUAAUCAGAAAGCCACGGCUAACUACGUG